This 499-nucleotide ribosomal RNA is filed under the name uncultured bacterium. RNAcentral's name for it is "partial 16S ribosomal RNA". It matches the Rfam family "Bacterial small subunit ribosomal RNA", at positions 899 to 1397 of the family's 1533-position model. The record is from RNAcentral.
ACUCAAAUGAAUAGACGGGGGCCCGCACAAGCGGUGGAGCAUGUGGUUUAAUUCGAUGCAACGCGAAGAACCUUACCUACCCUUGACAUCCUCGGAACCCUCUGGAGACAGAGGGGUGCCUUCGGGAACCGAGAGACAGGUGCUGCAUGGCUGUCGUCAGCUCGUGUUGUGAAAUGUUGGGUUAAGUCCCGUAACGAGCGCAACCCCUGUCCCUAUUUGCCAGCACGUGAUGGUGGGAACUCUAGGGAGACUGCCGGUGACAAACCGGAGGAAGGUGGGGACGACGUCAAGUCAUCAUGGCCCUUACGGGUAGGGCUACACACGUGCUACAAUGGCCGGUACAAAGGGAUGCAAGACGGCGACGUGGAGCGAAUCCCAGAAAGCCGGCCUCAGUUCGGAUCGGAGUCUGCAACUCGACUCCGUGAAGUCGGAAUCGCUAGUAAUCGUGAAUCAGAAUGUCACGGUGAAUACGUUCCCGGGCCUUGUACACACCGCCCGU